GCGGGCGUGGCGGAACUGGCAGACGCGCGGGCCUUAGGAGCCCGUUCCGGAAGGAGUGAGGGUUCGAGUCCCUCCGCCCGCACGA
This 85-nucleotide transfer RNA is filed under the name Ilumatobacter sp. RNAcentral's name for it is "tRNA-Leu". It matches the Rfam family "tRNA". From Rfam's summary of the family: Transfer RNA (tRNA) molecules are approximately 80 nucleotides in length. Their secondary structure includes four short double-helical elements and three loops (D, anti-codon, and T loops). Further hydrogen bonds mediate the characteristic L-shaped molecular structure. tRNAs have two regions of fundamental functional importance: the anti-codon, which is responsible for specific mRNA codon recognition, and the 3' end, to which the tRNAs corresponding amino acid is attached (by aminoacyl-tRNA synthetases). tRNAs cope with the degeneracy of the genetic code in two manners: having more than one tRNA (with a specific anti-codon) for a particular amino acid; and 'wobble' base-pairing, i.e. permitting non-standard base-pairing at the 3rd anti-codon position. The record is from RNAcentral. Lineage: Bacteria; Bacillati; Actinomycetota; Acidimicrobiia; Acidimicrobiales; Ilumatobacteraceae.